RNAcentral lists this long non-coding RNA (692 nucleotides) under Homo sapiens (human). RNAcentral's name for it is "PCBP1 antisense RNA 1". The record is from RNAcentral. Lineage: Eukaryota; Metazoa; Chordata; Mammalia; Primates; Hominidae.
GACCCCGGAAGUGCUUGCUGCGCAGGACCCCUUGAAAAAAAAUGAGGACCCGUCUUUUUUAGGUCACAAGAUUGCGCCAACCCUUACAUGGUCCUUAAAAAAAAAACCUUCUGACACUGCAGUAGUGAAAAUGAAGCGCACGAUGGGCGGAAGCUAGGAAGACAAACAUAAAGAUGAAGUGCUUAAUUCAAGGUCACACAAUGUCGGGGAUGGACCUCCAGAUUUCCUUACUGACCUGCAUUAUCUUGUGGAUACCUGAGUGAAUUCCACACCACCCAUUUUAUAGAUGAAACCACUGAGACAUGGAGCAAUUGACUGAGUAGUCACUGCCCCACCCCUGCCUGGAGCCUCACACAUGACUCGCCUCCUCUCAGUGACCACAGGUUGGUUGAGGGGUUUAACAAGGCUAAGAAGGUGAGACGUGGUCUUGUAACACAGUGGUUAAGAAUGUGACUUUGGAGCCAGCCUGCUAGGGGCUGAAUUCUGACUCAGCCAUUUACUAACUGUGUGACCUUAGGUAAGUCAUUUACCUUCUUUGUCCCUCAGUUUCAUCUCGGUUAAGUAGGGAUAAUGAUAGCACCUAUUUUAUAGGGUUAUUGUGAGGAAUAAAUCCAAGUAAAAUGCUUAGAAUAGUAACUGAAACAUAGCACUCAUUAGGAAUGCUUUAAUUUUCAUUUAUUUGAGUAUUAAAG